UCUGCAGGCGUUUUGGUUAGUCGUUCGUCUAAGCCUGGAGCUCAACUCCAGAAAGGCGAGCGAAACUGCCAAAAUUGAGUUUGUUUGGGGGAACUAGAAUUCUCGGUGGAGGGGUGAAAUCCAUAGAUAUCGAGAGGAAUACCAUACGCGAAGGCAGGUUCCUGGAACACAACUGACGCUCAGAGACGAAAGCAUGGGUAGCAAAAGGGAUUAGAGACCCCUGUAGUCCAUGCCGUAAAUGUUCCUUGCUAGCUGUUUUCACUUUUUAGUGGGGAUGGCGUAAGCUAACGCGUUAAGCAAGGCGCCUGGGGAUUACGACCGCAAGGUUAA
RNAcentral lists this ribosomal RNA (330 nucleotides) under uncultured bacterium. Its description in RNAcentral is "bacterial SSU rRNA". It matches the Rfam family "Bacterial small subunit ribosomal RNA", at positions 568 to 897 of the family's 1533-position model. The record is from RNAcentral.